This 1490-nucleotide long non-coding RNA is filed under the name Homo sapiens (human). RNAcentral describes it as "HSALNT0263451". The record is from RNAcentral. Lineage: Eukaryota; Metazoa; Chordata; Mammalia; Primates; Hominidae.
GUCAGCAAUACCAUUAGUAGUAGUGUUUGUGAUGUAGUGUAGUAGUAGUGUUGGCACAUGCUUGCCACUGGCCCAGGCAUGUGAGGAGGGCUCUGACCCUGAACUUGCCCUGAGUCCAUUCACAUCCAGAUGUCCCAUCUCUGGGGCUGUGCAUAGGGCAUCCCCUGCAACAGCCUGGUCCGAAAGUGACCCAUGUGCAGGUGCAAGCUACAAGGGGACUCAGAAGGCUCCCACUUCAGCCACCACCUCCCACUUCACAGAUAGGAACACUGAGGCUCUUGGAGGGCAACAGUCAUCCAAUAUCAUGUGGCAAGUUGCCCAGGUUUCUGUCCCCAGCCCAGGGGUAAUUCCAGUAAGCCAACUGGUCAGGCACCCAGGUUCAAAUGUGGGCUUUGCACUGCUUGCUGUGUGACCUUGGGCAAGUGACACCGCCUCUCUGUGCUUCAUCUAAAAAUAGGGAUAAAAAUACUUACCUCGAGUGAGGAUUAGAACAUAAGGCAGGCAUCCGGAAUCUCUUUUUGACUGCUGUAUGCAUGGUCAAAAGAGCUUAAACAGCUUAAAAAGCCUGACCCCCAGCAAAAGUGUGACCAAUGAUGGUUAACAUGAGUGAGUGCUGGUUCUGCCUGGCACAUGUGAAGAUUCAUGUAGUCCUUAGCAAUCCCACAAAGUAGGUAUUUUUGAAUCCCAUCUUCCACAUAAAGAAAUUUAAAUGAGGCACCCAAGGCCACAGAGCUGGAAACUGGUAGCAUCAGAAGCUGAAUUCAGGCAGGUGAGCACUGUGCUAAGUGCUCUACACAAAUGCAUUUGUUCACUCAUUCAUUCAUGUAACAAGCAGUAAGCACCUAUUAUACACCAGGUACUGCUUUAGAUACCAUGCAUACAGCAGUCAAAAAGAGAGUCAGGAUGCCUGCCUUAUGUUCUGUUUCUCAUUUGUGGUAGGUAUUUGUGUUAUCUAUUUUUAGAUGAAGCACAGAGAGGCAGUGUCACUUGCCCAAGGUCACACAGCAAGGAGUGCAAAGCCCACAUUUGAACCUGGGCCUAGCUGAUGCCUCGUUUUCUGUCCUGAGGGACCCUUUUCCAGCAAUAUCCCCAGAAGGGACUGAACCAGAGGUGUAUGCACUGAUGUCUGUCCAGGGUUCAGGCCCAUUCAGAGCCCCGGAACACUCCAUCCCACGCAGCCUUAGCCUCAUUUCCCAAGUGGCAAGUGGCACUCAGGCCCCACCCUCUCCAAGCUGUCAUGAGGAUUCCUUCCUUCUUUCCUAACACUAAUUGAGAUGCCUCCUGACAUUGUACAGAUACCAUAGUUUAGGAAACCCCUCCUCCUUUCCUAGAGGUUAGUUUUGCUUCAGUCUGCAGAAGAGAAAACCCAGGGGUCUCAGAGGUGACAUGAUUUAACUAAGGCAGUGACUCAAUCAGAAUUCAAGCCCAGACAUGUGUGCCUCAAAGCAGCAGCAGUCAGGGUCUCAGCAGGAGCAGAUGGCACCCUCCAG